Molecule: ribosomal RNA, 472 nt
Filed under: uncultured bacterium
Lineage: Bacteria
Description: partial 16S ribosomal RNA
Rfam family: Bacterial small subunit ribosomal RNA
Source: RNAcentral
GACGAACGCUGGCGGCGUGCUUAACACAUGCAAGUCGAACGCUGAAGCUCUGUGCUUGCGCUGUUUGGGUGAGUGGCGAACGGGUGAGUAAUACGUGAGUAACCUUCCCUUUACUCUGGGAUAAGCCUGGGAAACUGGUUCUAAUACUGGAUACUACAUGUCACCGCAUGGUGGUGUGUGGAAAGGGUUUUACUGGUUUUGGAUGGGCUCACGGCCUAUCAGCUUGUUGGUGGGGUAAUGGCUCACCAAGGCGACGACGGGUAGCCGGCCUGAGAGGGUGACCGGCCACAAUGGGACUGAGACACGGACCAGACUCCUACGGGAGGCAGCAGUGGGGAAUAUUGCACAAUCGGCGGAAGCCUGAUGCAGAGACGCCGCGUGAGGGAUGACGGCCUUCGGGUUGUAAACAUCUUUAAGCAAGGAAGAAGCGAAAGUGACGGUACGUGAAGAAGAAGCGCCGGCUAACUACGUG